This 3395-nucleotide ribosomal RNA is filed under the name Venturia inaequalis. Its description in RNAcentral is "eukaryotic LSU rRNA". It matches the Rfam family "Eukaryotic large subunit ribosomal RNA", at positions 494 to 3281 of the family's 3401-position model. Lineage: Eukaryota; Fungi; Ascomycota; Dothideomycetes; Venturiales; Venturiaceae. The record is from RNAcentral.
AUUCUUUUAUACAAACCCUAUAUUAAGCUAAAUACUCUUCUAUUCUAUACUAAAUACAAAUUAGAGAAGAUUAGAACUAGUUAGUANNAGUUCAAGUAUUAUCGAGUAGGUACUAGACUUAUAUAGGCUUCUCNAGCCGUAAGCGGCCCGUCUUGAAAUAUAGACCAAGGAGUCUAAUAUCUAUACGAGUAUUUAGGUAUUAAACCCGUACGCGUANCCGAGUAUACCCUAUCCAAUAGUACUUAUACUAUACCUAUAAGCCUUGUAGUUUUAUAGUAAAAAAUAUACUAUUAUUUAGUACUCUAAGAAAGACCUUUUUCUUUAUUAGGAAUUUAGGAAUUCAAGACGAAUAUAAAGAAUAACUUAGAAUAGACUAAAACUAGUUAGUAAUUAGUUUCGUUUUCGAUUCGGAUACAGCUCCUCCUCGAUAGAAGGUACUAGUUCUUUGAAAAGAAAGCUAAAAGUAUAUAAAAUUAUUAAAAGAAAAGAACUUCCGUAGAGGCUCGUAGCGGUUCUAACGUACAAAUCGAUCGUUAAAUUUACGUAUAGGGGCGAAAGACUAAUCGAACUAUUUGCAAAUAGUAAUACUAGAUAGUUAAAGGGCGGAGAGCCUUAGUCCCUAUAGGGGCUAUACUACCAAACUACGGGGAACGCCUAUAGCCGGACGCUACCGCCCCCCCGCCGCGAGGUAGGAGGGGUACCCCGUUUACUUAGGGGUAUAGUAAUAGCGCGCCCGGCGGGUCGAUCCGUAGCCGUCCCCCAAUCCGUCGGGGGGUAGUUUAUAGACUAGACGGUAGUAGGCGCGGCGAGCGCUUAAGAUAUAGUCGAUCCAGCCCCUUAAGGGGCCGAGAGUAGUAGCUAGUUCCUACCGAAGUUUCCCUCAGGAUAGUAGUAAUAUUUUUAGUUUUAUAAGGUAAAGCAAAUAAUUAGAGGCCUAGGGGUUGAAACUAACCUUUACCUAUUCUCAAACUUUAAAUAUAUAAGAAGUCCUUAUUACUUAGUUAAACGUAGAUAUUUGAAUACACCGUUACUAGUAGGCUAUUUUUGGUAAGUAGAACUAGCGAUGCGGGAUGAACCGAAUAGGGGGUUAAGGUACUAGAAUACACGCUUAUUAGAUACUACAAAAGGUAUUAGUUUAUCUAGAUAGUAGGACGGUAGCUAUAGAAGUCGGAAUCUACUAAGGAGUAUAUAAUAACUUACCUACCGAAUAAACUAGCCCUGAAAAUAGAUAGCGCUCAAGCGUACUACCUAUACCCCCCCUCCGCGGUAGGCUUUAUACCGCGGAGAGUAGGUAGGCGUAGAGGCCCGUAACGAAGCCUAGGGGGUAACCCCAGGUCGAACGGCCUCUAGUAUAGAUCUUGGUAGUAGUAGUAAAUACUCAAAUAAGAACUUUAAGGACUAAAGUAGGGAAAGGUUCCGUAUAAAUAGUAGUUAGAUACGGGUUAGCCGACCCUAAGUACUAGGGUAGUUCUAACUCAACGUGCGCGCUUGCGCGCCGUAGUACGAAAGGGGAGCCGGUUAAUAUUCNUUAAUAGUCCGUUACCCUGAAAUCGGUUUGUCCGGAGCUAGGGUUUAACGACCGGUAGAGCCCCUUACCUUUAAGGGGUCUAGUACGCCCCUAACGUCCCUUAAAAAUCCGCCGGAUAGAAUAGCUUUCACGCUAGGUCGUACUUAUAACCGUAGCAGGUCUCCAAGGUAAACAGCCUCUAGUUAAUAGAAUAAUAUAGAUAAGGGAAGUCGGUAAAAUAGAUCUAUAACUUCGGGAAAAGGAUUAGCUCUAAGGGUCGGGUACGUUGGGCCUUAGGGGGACGCUCCUAGAGUAGGUUAGUACUAGGCUCACGCCCGGCGCCUCCUAGUACUAUAGGGUCGACGCCCUUAGUAGGCUUCGGCCGUCCGGCGUACGCUUAACGACCAACUUAGAACUAGUACGGACAAGGGGAAUCUAACUAUCUAAUUAAAAUAUAGUAUUGCGAUGGCUAGAAAGUAGUAUUAACGCAAUAUAAUUUCUACCUAGUACUCUAAAUAUCAAAGUAAAGUAAUUCAACCAAGCGCGGGUAAAUAGCGGGAGUAACUAUAACUCGAGCAACCUCGAGAGGGUUAUAAGAGCGGCUAUAGGCCGCUAGCGGAGGGGGCUCGCCCCCCGAGCGAUACUAUUAAAUUACGGGGACCUCUAGAUACCUCCGCUACCAACCCGGGGCCCGAAAGGGCGCUAGGGGCCGGGACUAAUAGUUCCCGGGUACGGUAAUAGCGCGUAGGCCCUAGACGAUCCGCAGCCAAACCUACCGCCCCCCCUAGGGAGCGCGGGCGUAGUUUAACGACUAAAUAGUAGUAGGGCCCCCCCUCGGGGGCCCUAAGAUAUAGUCUACUAGAGAGCCUAACGGCCUCCGCUUAGAAAGAGCUCUUAAGGUAGCUAAAUACCUCGUUAUCUAAUUAGUAACGCGUAUAAAUAGAUUAACGAGAUUCCUACUAUCCCUAUCUACUAUCUAGCGAAACCAUAGCCAAGGGAAUAGGCUUAGUAGAAUUAGCGGGGAAAGAAGACCCUAUUAAGCUUGACUCUAGUUUAAUAUUAUAAAAAGAUAUAGGGGGUAUAGAAUAGGUAGGAGCUUCGGCGCCGGUAAAAUACUACUACCCUUAUCGUUUUUUUACUUAUUCAAUUAAGCGAAACUAGACUUUACCGUCUAAUUUCUUAUAUUAAGGUCCUUCGCGGGCCGAUCCGGGUUGAAGACAUUGUUAGGUAGGGAGUUUAGCUAGGGCGGUAUAUCUAUUAAACUAUAAUAUAGGUAUCCUAAGGGGGACUUAUAGAGAAUAGAAAUCUCUAGUAGAGUAAAAGGGUAAAAGUCCCCUUGAUUUUAAUUUUUAGUAUAAAUACAAACUAUAAAAGUAUAGCCUAUCGAUCCUUUAGUCCCUCGGAAUUUGAGGCUAGAGGUACUAGAAAAGUUACUAUAGGGAUAACUAGCUUAUAGUAGCUAAGCGUUUAUAGCGACGUUACUUUUUAAUCCUUUAAUAUCGGCUCUUCCUAUUAUACUAAAGUAGAAUUCGGUAAGCGUUAGAUUAUUUAUCUACUAAUAGGGAACGUAAGCUAGGUUUAGACCGUCGUAAGAUAGGUUAGUUUUACCCUACUAAUAACCGUCGCCCUAACGGUAAUUCCGCUUAGUACGAGAGGAAUCGCGGAUUUAGAUAAUUGGUUUUUAUAGCUAUCUAACCGGGUAGUACCGCGAAGCUACUAUCUACUAGAUUAUAGCUAAACGCCUCUAAGUUAGAAUCUAUACCGGAACGGGGUAAUUUACCUCUAUAUACUUUACUCGUAUACGAAUAGGCUUCGGCCCCGGACCUUAGUAGGCCGACGACGGGGUAGCUCCCGAAACGGGCCCCCCUAGUUAGCGUAUUACAAUUUU